CCUGGGGAGUACGGCCGCAAGGUUAAAACUCAAAUGAAUUGACGGGGGCCCGCACAAGCGGUGGAGCAUGUGGUUUAAUUCGAUGCAACGCGAAGAACCUUACCUACUCUUGACAUCCAGAGAACUUUCCAGAGAUGGAUUGGUGCCUUCGGGAACUCUGAGACAGGUGCUGCAUGGCUGUCGUCAGCUCGUGUUGUGAAAUGUUGGGUUAAGUCCCGCAACGAGCGCAACCCUUAUCCUUUGUUGCCAGCGGUUAGGCCGGGAACUCAAAGGAGACUGCCAGUGAUAAACUGGAGGAAGGUGGGGAUGACGUCAAGUCAUCAUGGCCCUUACGAGUAGGGCUACACACGUGCUACAAUGGCGCAUACAAAGAGAAGCGACCUCGCGAGAGCAAGCGGACCUCAUAAAGUGCGUCGUAGUCCGGAUUGGAGUCUGCAACUCGACUCCAUGAAGUCGGAAUCGCUAGUAAUCGUGGAUCAGAAUGCCACGGUGAAUACGUUCCCGGGCCUUGUACACACCGCCCGUCACACCAUGGGAGUGGGUUGCAAAAGAAGUAGGUAGCUUAACCUUCGGGAGGGCGCUUACCACUUUGUGAUUCAUGACUGGGGUGAAGUCGUAACAAGGUAACCGUAGGGGAACCUGCGGUUGGAUCACCUCCUUA
This 661-nucleotide ribosomal RNA is filed under the name Enterobacter hormaechei. Its description in RNAcentral is "bacterial SSU rRNA". It matches the Rfam family "Bacterial small subunit ribosomal RNA", at positions 872 to 1533 of the family's 1533-position model. Lineage: Bacteria; Pseudomonadati; Pseudomonadota; Gammaproteobacteria; Enterobacterales; Enterobacteriaceae. RNAcentral also lists the same sequence under 2 other names. The record is from RNAcentral.